RNAcentral lists this long non-coding RNA (271 nucleotides) under Elaeis guineensis (African oil palm). RNAcentral describes it as "long non-coding RNA (EGUI_LNC077377)". Lineage: Eukaryota; Viridiplantae; Streptophyta; Magnoliopsida; Arecales; Arecaceae. The record is from RNAcentral.
CCCUAGCCAAAGUUUUGCUAAAUUGAAAUAUGACUGUACACAGCUCCUAAACUGGAGUAGUCAAUCCCAUCUUGACACACGCACCGAUAAGUCAAGUACUUGACUACACCCAGCAGCCUUCCAUCACUGAAUUGGAAAUUCAGGUAGUCCAGUGCCUAAGUGCAGUGAGUUGCUCGCAAGUCACUAUGGCGAUCUCAGGUCAGAGGGAUAUUUAUACCCAUAUUCCAUCGGAGCAAAUCUUGACAGUAGAAAUAGCUCCGGAGUCGAUCAC